GGAGGCCCAUAGCUCAGUGGUAGAACAUCUGUUUUGCAUACAGAAGAUUCCCAGUUCAAUCCCUGGCAUCUCCA
This is a non-coding RNA of Podarcis lilfordi (Lilford's wall lizard), 74 nucleotides long. The record is from the annotation of a GenBank genome assembly. NCBI's taxonomy places the organism in Eukaryota, Metazoa, Chordata, Lepidosauria, Squamata, Lacertidae.